AUUGAACGCUAGCGGCAUGCCUUACACAUGCAAGUCGAACGAGUGGCGGACGGGUGAGUAAUGUAUGGGAAAGUGCCUGGUGGCGGGGGAUAACUACUGGAAACGGUAGCUAAUACCGCAUACCCUUGGAUGUGCCCAGAUGGGAUUAGCUAGUUGGUGGGGUAACGGAUCACCAAGGCAACGAUCCCUAGCUGGUCGGAGAGGAUGACCAGCCACAAUGGAACUGAGAGACGGUCCAUAGUCAGACGGGACGCAGCAGUGGGGAAUUUUGCACAAUGGGCACAAGCCUGAUUCAGCCAUGCCGCGUGUAUGAAGAAGGCCUUCGGGUUGUAAAGUACUUUCAGCGUGGAGGCGUUACCCGCAGAAGAAGCACCGGCUAACUCCGUGCCAGCAGCCGCGGUAAUUC
RNAcentral lists this ribosomal RNA (406 nucleotides) under uncultured bacterium. RNAcentral's name for it is "partial 16S ribosomal RNA". It matches the Rfam family "Bacterial small subunit ribosomal RNA", at positions 30 to 526 of the family's 1533-position model. The record is from RNAcentral.